UAGGGAAUCUUCCGCAAUGGACGCAAGUCUGACGGAGCAACGCCGCGUGAGUGAAGAAGGAUUUCGGUUCGUAAAACUCUGUUGUUAGAGAAGAACAGCGCAUAGAGUAACUGUUAUGCGUGUGACGGUAUCUAACCAGAAAGCCACGGCUAACUACGUGCCAGCAGCCGCGGUAAUACGUAGGUGGCAAGCGUUGUCCGGAUUUAUUGGGCGUAAAGCGAGCGCAGGCGGUCAAUUAAGUCUGAUGUGAAAGCCCCCGGCUCAACCGGGGAGGGUCAUUGGAAACUGGUUGACUUGAGUGCAGAAGAGGAGAGUGGAAUUCCAUGUGUAGCGGUGAAAUGCGUAGAUAUAUGGAGGAACACCAGUGGCGAAGGGGACUCUCUGGUCUGUAACUGACGCUGAGGCUCGAAAGCGUGGGUAGCAAACAGG
RNAcentral lists this ribosomal RNA (429 nucleotides) under Bacteroidota bacterium. RNAcentral's name for it is "Bacteroidetes bacterium partial 16S ribosomal RNA". It matches the Rfam family "Bacterial small subunit ribosomal RNA", at positions 355 to 776 of the family's 1533-position model. The record is from RNAcentral. Lineage: Bacteria; Pseudomonadati; Bacteroidota.